GUAUGCAGCGGAAAAGCUAACAAGAAGUAGAGACCGCGCGGAACCCAGACAGGGCAGAGGAUGUGCAUAAGUUUUGUUGAAACUGUCAACAGGGCAAGAGGUGAAUGCAGCAAAUCGUAAGGAGAAGACCUGAAUGAGGCAAGUGGCCACUCACCUUGUACCUGGGUCCCAAAUCCCCAGAGGCUCCAGGCUCAGCAACAGAUGCUCACAAUGAUGGCAACUGCUGAAGUUGAUGGGUAAUGAUUU
This 246-nucleotide long non-coding RNA is filed under the name Sus scrofa (pig). Its description in RNAcentral is "lncRNA (ENSSSCG00070024326.1)". The record is from RNAcentral. Lineage: Eukaryota; Metazoa; Chordata; Mammalia; Artiodactyla; Suidae.